RNAcentral lists this ribosomal RNA (105 nucleotides) under Cebus imitator (Panamanian white-faced capuchin). Lineage: Eukaryota; Metazoa; Chordata; Mammalia; Primates; Cebidae. The record is from RNAcentral.
ACACCCUGAACAUGCCCGAUCUCAUCUGAUCUCGGAAGCUAAGCAGGGUUGGGCCUGGUUAGUACUUAGAUGGGAGUUAAUUUUUAUAUAUGGUGAAACGUAGGU